Molecule: ribosomal RNA, 465 nt
Filed under: Vreelandella stevensii
Lineage: Bacteria; Pseudomonadati; Pseudomonadota; Gammaproteobacteria; Oceanospirillales; Halomonadaceae
Description: partial 16S ribosomal RNA
Rfam family: Bacterial small subunit ribosomal RNA
Source: RNAcentral
CCUACGGGUGGCAGCAGUGGGGAAUAUUGGACAAUGGGGGGAACCCUGAUCCAGCCAUGCCGCGUGUGUGAAGAAGGCCCUCGGGUUGCAAAGCACUUUCAGUGAGGAAGAACGCCUGGUGGUUAAUACCCAUCAGGAAAGACAUCACUCACAGAAGAAGCACCGGCUAACUCCGUGCCAGCAGCCGUGGUAAUACGGAGGGUGCGAGCGUUAAUCGGAAUUACUGGGCGUAAAGCGCGCGUAGGUGGCUUGAUAAGCCGGUUGUGAAAGCCCCGGGCUCAACCUGGGAACGGCAUCCGGAACUGUCAAGCUAGAGUGCAGGAGAGGAAGGUAGAAUUCCCGGUGUAGCGGUGAAAUGCGUAGAGAUCGGGAGGAAUACCAGUGGCGAAGGCGGCCUUCUGGACUGACACUGACACUGAGGUGCGAAAGCGUGGGUAGCAAACAGGAUUAGAUACCCCAGUAGUC